GGAAAAACGUGGCUUGAUUACUAAAGUGGUUUCUGAAUUCUUUAUAUCCAAUUUAUAAAUUUCUUUGAAUUACUGUAUCCUAUUCCGUUUGAAGCUUGAAGUGUAGGUUGAUUGAUUGUCUCCACUUAUAUUCCGUGAGGUCGUGCGAGAUACUCGAAUUUGAGGUGUACCUAUUCAGGUUCCAUUCAAUAUAGUUCAGGGAACGAAUGCAACGAAUUCCACGAAACCCACAAACGUAA
Molecule: long non-coding RNA, 239 nt
Organism: Toxorhynchites rutilus septentrionalis
Lineage: Eukaryota; Metazoa; Arthropoda; Insecta; Diptera; Culicidae
Exons: 3
Source: RefSeq, a predicted model, not a curated record